RNAcentral lists this ribosomal RNA (285 nucleotides) under uncultured bacterium. RNAcentral describes it as "partial 16S ribosomal RNA". It matches the Rfam family "Bacterial small subunit ribosomal RNA", at positions 335 to 642 of the family's 1533-position model. The record is from RNAcentral.
ACUCCUACGGGAGGCAGCAGUGGGGAAUAUUGGACAAUGGGGAAACCCUGAUCCAGCGAUGCCGCGUGAGUGAAGAAGGCCUUUGGGUUGUAAAGCUCUUUGUGAUGGAAGAUGAUGACGGUACAUCAAGAAAAGUCCCCGGCUAACUUCGUGCCAGCAGCCGCGGUAAUACGAAGGGACUAGCGUUGUUCGGAAUGACUGGGCGUAAAGGGCGCGUAGGCGGUUUUUAAGUUUGUUGUGAAAGCCUUGGCUUAACCUGAGAUGUGCAAUGAAUACUGGGAGACU